GACAGAGGGAGAGCUUGAGAACCAAGAUAUCAUAUUUUCUUUAGCUACGUGAAGCUGAUGCAUCGCUAGGGAAGGGUUAAAGAAAAACAAACCCCUCUCAAGAUGUUCCUGGAAAACCCAAGCAGAUAAACACAUGGGAAGCUCAGACAGCCGGCCUUCUGUUAAGUAUGUGAGAGAAAUUUCCCAUCUCGAGAUAAUGGAAGCACCUUCUGUAGACAGGCUGAGCACAGCCCAAUAGCAAUUGCAAGGGAUUUUGAAUCGGAUAAUCAACUCUCAUGCAUGCAAUAAAU
This 290-nucleotide long non-coding RNA is filed under the name Cyanistes caeruleus (blue tit). RNAcentral's name for it is "lncRNA (ENSCCEG00000014764.1)". Lineage: Eukaryota; Metazoa; Chordata; Aves; Passeriformes; Paridae. The record is from RNAcentral.